Molecule: ribosomal RNA, 100 nt
Filed under: Ophiostoma piceae
Lineage: Eukaryota; Fungi; Ascomycota; Sordariomycetes; Ophiostomatales; Ophiostomataceae
Description: partial 5.8S ribosomal RNA
Rfam family: 5.8S ribosomal RNA
About the family: 5.8S ribosomal RNA (5.8S rRNA) is a component of the large subunit of the eukaryotic ribosome. It is transcribed by RNA polymerase I as part of the 45S precursor that also contains 18S and 28S rRNA.
Source: RNAcentral
AUACGUAAUGCGAAUUGCAGAAUUCAGCGAGUCAUCGAAUCUUUGAACGCACAUUGCGCCCGCCAGCAUUCUGGCGGGCAUGCCUGUCCGAGCGUCAUUU